CGCUCGACGGAUUGCGACCGUUUGAUUGUGGAAUGAGAAGAGGGCACCGGGGUCAUCAUACCCGUUGGCCGCGAAAUUUGCGGCGAUGAGGACCGCUUCGCAGUUGAAGAAGAGGAGGAAGAAGAAGACAUGUACCGAGAAGUAACUUCGCGGGAUUUGGGGCGGCGAGGAGCGAGAGCAUUGUCGGGGUCCGAUGGCAACAGAGGAGGCCUUGUUGGGUUGUGGUUUCGCGUGGCUGGUGCCCGGUGUCGUUUUGGGAUUUAUUGUAGUGGAAACCGCAGCCACCAUUAUUGAAACCAAAAUUGAAAAAUCACUUCACAUAUCAUUCUUCAAGGCCACUGUCCCAAAACCCUAACAUUCACUUAGUGCCUGUUUAUCACCAUAAACCCCUCCUUAAGUACAAUUUAAAAAGAGAAAAGAGAGGGAGUUGCACAGGGAGAGAUUUGUAAGCGAUAAAGUGUAAUUUGCAAGGGGAAGAAGCAACUUUCUAAUCAACUCUUUAAAGAGAAAAGAAAUUGACCGGAAAAUUGACCGUUACCGAUCACCAACGAGGGAGGGUGUGGACUGUGGGGGCGCUGUUUAGGCGAAAUUUGGGAGCAUAACUGUCGUACUAGGCUUUUUCGUUUGGC
RNAcentral lists this unclassified non-coding RNA (629 nucleotides) under Hevea brasiliensis (rubber tree). Lineage: Eukaryota; Viridiplantae; Streptophyta; Magnoliopsida; Malpighiales; Euphorbiaceae. The record is from RNAcentral.